This 92-nucleotide transfer RNA is filed under the name Rhodospirillaceae bacterium. RNAcentral's name for it is "tRNA-Ser". It matches the Rfam family "tRNA". Rfam says of the family: Transfer RNA (tRNA) molecules are approximately 80 nucleotides in length. The record is from RNAcentral. Lineage: Bacteria; Pseudomonadati; Pseudomonadota; Alphaproteobacteria; Rhodospirillales; Rhodospirillaceae.
GGAGGGGUGGCCGAGUGGCUGAAGGCGGCGGUUUGCUAAAUCGUUGUACUGGGAAACUGGUACCAUGGGUUCGAAUCCCAUUCCCUCCGCCA